UAAUAGAAAUUAAACUAAUUAAAGAUUUUAAUCGAUUAAUUAAGUUCAAAGAGAAAAUUACAGUUUAAUGUAUUUAUGCAUGGUUAUACUACAUUGCCACUAAAACCAACUUACUGUAAAAAUUACAGCAAGAAACGUUACAUACAUUUCAACUAUUCCAAACCAAAUCCAAGCAUUUUCAAAUAUUUCUAUGAAAAGCAAAAUGAGAAGGCAAUAAUAAACAGGUUACUCGUAAUACAACACACCCAAUCCCCACCCUUGGCUCAUGAUGCGUCCAGAAUUCAUACAAAAACAAAACCGUUUUCCCGGCACCAAAACAUAAACAAACCCAAAAUUCCAUAACCGAAAUCAGGAGGUAUGCAAUCAACAGAGCAAACUUAUCUUCAUAGCUUUACAAUCAUCACUAUUUUGAAUAAUCAUAAAGCUGAAAAUUGAAAAUUCACAAAUGCAAUCGAAACCGAAUUAAGUCCGAAAUCGUGACAUAUGGAAGCUACAAAUAAAACUCCACCACAACUUAAACACGCAUAAAUAAAUAGCGGAUUUUGAAUCGUGUAAACCAGCCGAAAUCAAAGCAUAAUGCUAACAUAACGCAGUAUAAACAACAAAGUGUAUCAAUGCGAAACAAAACAAAAUC
Molecule: long non-coding RNA, 634 nt
Filed under: Lathyrus oleraceus (garden pea)
Lineage: Eukaryota; Viridiplantae; Streptophyta; Magnoliopsida; Fabales; Fabaceae
Description: Pisum sativum (pea) long non-coding RNA (PSAT_LNC007947)
Source: RNAcentral